RNAcentral lists this ribosomal RNA (468 nucleotides) under uncultured bacterium. RNAcentral's name for it is "partial 16S ribosomal RNA". It matches the Rfam family "Bacterial small subunit ribosomal RNA", at positions 28 to 507 of the family's 1533-position model. The record is from RNAcentral.
GACGAACGCUGGCGGCGUGCUUAACACAUGCAAGUAGAACGGAAAGGCCCUGCUUUUGUGGGGUGCUCGAGUGGCGAACGGGUGAGUAACACGUGAGUAACCUGCCCUUGACUUUGGGAUAACUUCAGGAAACUGGGGCUAAUACCGGAUAGGAGCUCCUGCUGCAUGGUGGGGGUUGGAAAGUUUCGGCGGUUGGGGAUGGACUCGCGGCUUAUCAGCUUGUUGGUGGGGUAGUGGCUUACCAAGGCUUUGACGGGUAGCCGGCCUGAGAGGGUGACCGGCAAGGUGGGGACUGAGAGAGGCCCCGGACGCGGGGGGGAGGGGGCAGGGGGGAAGAUGGCAAAAGGGCGGGGAGCCGGAGGCGGCACCGCCGGGGGGGGGGUGAGGGCCUUGGGUUAGUAAACCGGUCCCGCCUGGUACGAGGGGGGGGUGAGGGUAGGGGGAAAAGAAGCGCGGGCUAACUACGGG